GACGUAGGGAGCAAGCGUUGUCCGGAAUCAUUGGGCGUAAAGCGCGCGUAGGUGGCCUCAUAAGUCCGCUGUGAAAGUCAAAGGCUCAACCUUUGAAAGCCGGUGGAUACUGUGGGGCUAGAGUACAGAAGGGGCAACUGGAAUUCUCGGUGUAGCGGUGAAAUGCGUAGAUAUCGAGAGGAACACCUGCGGCGAAGGCGGGUUGCUGGGCUGAUACUGACGCUGAGGCGCGAAAGCCAGGGGAGCGAACGGG
Molecule: ribosomal RNA, 253 nt
Filed under: uncultured bacterium
Lineage: Bacteria
Description: partial 16S ribosomal RNA
Rfam family: Bacterial small subunit ribosomal RNA
Source: RNAcentral